This 1865-nucleotide long non-coding RNA is filed under the name Anas platyrhynchos platyrhynchos (common mallard). RNAcentral describes it as "lncRNA (ENSAPLG00000027594.1)". Lineage: Eukaryota; Metazoa; Chordata; Aves; Anseriformes; Anatidae. The record is from RNAcentral.
ACUGCUGGCUCAUAUUCAUUCACCUUGCUCUCAGCUAAAACUCCCAGAUCCCUCUUGUGGCUGGACAGUACAGAAAUUGACUGAGCCUCCAAGAAUCUGAGCAGAAAGGAAAUUCUAAUAAUGUUGCUGCAAAAAAGCAGAUUUAAGUAAGUUUUUACCAGCUUUUGUGCUAGUUUUGGCACAAGCAUUAUGUUUAUGGGAUCUUUUACUUGGGGUAAAUCUUUUGCCUCCACUCGACGUAGUAAGUCCACACAUGGACUUACCCUAAGAGCAGUGUGUCUACUCCUGGUGUCUCAUGUCUCGCUUGUGCUGCAAUUCAGUGAACGAGAGGAAUAGCUGCUACAGAAGCAUGGAGUGUUACUUAAGAGCGAGGGGAGGGGUAUUGCUCAGCCUGUGAUCUUGUGCGAGAUCUUGUGGUCUUGCAGAACAGUGCCAGUAGGAACGCCUCUCUUGACCGAUAUGUGCAAAGUGACUCAAACCUCACUGGCUGCCACUUGAACACAGGUUAUAAAUGUUUGCCUGUUAGCAAAAGUGGAAGGAAAGCAAUCCUCUGUUACUUUUAUUGAAGAAAGCUAGUGGGAGGAGUUUAAGGCCCCCAGGAACUAAAAAUAAAUGGGAGGCUGCUGCUAUGAGCAGCAGAAAGAUACUUGAAAGAAAACACCAACUUUCUGGCACACAUUUUCUGCCCGUUAUCUGGCUGUCCAGUCCGGAUGCAGCUGUGUUUUUCUCUGUCUUCUUUCAUUUUCCCCUGAGACAGAGAGGCACCAGCAGUGCCAAAUAAUCAACAUGGCUCAAAGUCCACUCGGCUCUGUGCCAAUGCCACGUAUCGGCACAGGGUUGAAAAGCCCCAGCUGGUCCGUAGAGGGUCAAAAAGCCUUGAGUCAAAGAGCCAGGGAGCUGAAACUGCACUUCCAGAUAACUGCAUGUGCUGCCCUUCCCUUGGACCAAGUGCUAAUUAACUUCAAUGGCGGUGAGGGGAAGAGAGUGCCUGCAGAAUGUGCUGGAGGAUGCAGCUCUUUGGGGAUGGGGAGCAGGAGCAGCCCGAUGGAGCUGAGCUGCCCACCAGCACCAAACAACCAGGCAUUGGGUUUCUGUGUUUCUGUCCUUUUUUUUUUUUUUUUUUGCUUGGACAAAGAGCCUUUGUUUUCCUUGACAACAUGUUCGCUGAGGCUGCUGCUGGAUCAGGCAGUAAAUUCUCUUCCCACUGGAGCCAUGAAACUGAGACCAAAGUUUGCUCCUACAGAUUUCAGCAUGCUAUCUGAUGUGAAAACAGCCUUUAUUGCCUUUUUUUUCUUUUUUUUUUUCUUCCAAACACACCAAGGUAGUCUGGGGCAGGAGCAGUUUAGUCCUUUGGGGAUGAGUUGGUGCUGAGGAGGGUGGCAACGAGCUGUUGUAAGGCAGCAAAGCUCUGCCCAGGUCCAACUUUAUCCAAAAUGGAGCAAUUUAAAAACUGUACUGGGUCUGGCUGGAAUGUUAACUUUCCCGGCAGCAGCCCAUACAGUGCUGUGCUCUGCACUUGGAGCUAGAACAGCAGUGGUAUCACACCAGUGUUGUGACUGCUGCUGAGCAGUGCUGGCACAGCAUCAGGACUCUCUCUAACCCUCCUAGGGGGUGGGCAAAAAGUGAGGAGGGAAGCAUCACUAGGGCAGCUGACCUAAACCAACCAAAGGGGUAUUCCGUACCGUGUGAUGUCACACUCGGCAAGAAAAGGUAGAAACAGGAAGAGGAGAGGAGGGGUGGGCUCUCAUUGAGAAAACAUCGGUCCUCCUCUCGAACACUGGCUGCGUGUGUUGAGGCCUUGCUUCAAGGACGUGGUCAAUCAUCGCUCAUUUGUGGGAAGUAGAAAGUAAUUUCUUUCCUCUGCA